RNAcentral lists this ribosomal RNA (251 nucleotides) under uncultured bacterium. RNAcentral describes it as "partial 16S ribosomal RNA". It matches the Rfam family "Bacterial small subunit ribosomal RNA", at positions 524 to 771 of the family's 1533-position model. The record is from RNAcentral.
UACGUAGGGUGCGAGCGUUGUCCGGAAUUAUUGGGCGUAAAGAGCUUGUAGGCGGUUUGUCGCGUCUGCUGUGAAAAUCCGGGGCUCAACCCCGGACUUGCAGUGGGUACGGGCAGACUAGAGUGUGGUAGGGGAGACUGGAAUUCCUGGUGUAGCGGUGAAAUGCGCAGAUAUCAGGAGGAACACCGGUGGCGAAGGGCGGGACUCUGGGCCGUAACUGACGCUGGAGGAGCGAAAGCAUCGGGGAGCGA